UGGGGAAUUUUGGACAAUGGGCGAAAGCCUGAUCCAGCAAUGCCGCGUGUGUGAAGAAGGCCUUCGGGUUGUAAAGCACUUUUGUCCGGGAAAGAAAUCCUUGGCUCUAAUACAGUCGGGGGAUGACGGUACCGGAAGAAUAAGCACCGGCUAACUACGUGCCAGCAGCCGCGGUAAUACGUAGGGUGCAAGCGUUAAUCGGAAUUACUGGGCGUAAAGCGUGCGCAGGCGGUUUGCUAAGACCGAUGUGAAAUCCCCGGGCUCAACCUGGGAACUGCAUUGGUGACUGGCAGGCUAGAGUAUGGCAGAGGGGGGUAGAAUUCCACGUGUAGCAGUGAAAUGCGUAGAGAUGUGGAGGAAUACCGAUGGCGAAGGCAGCCCCCUGGGCCAAUACUGACGCUCAUGCACGAAAGCGUGGGGAGCAAACAGGAUUAGAUACCCUGGUAGUCCACGCCCUAAACGAUGUCAACUAGUUGUUGGGGAUUCAUUUCCUUAGUAACGUAGCUAACGCGUGAAGUUGACCGCCUGGGGAGUACGGUCGCAAGAUUAAAACUCAAAGGAAUUGACGGGGUCAAGCUGUUUCCU
Molecule: ribosomal RNA, 585 nt
Filed under: uncultured bacterium
Lineage: Bacteria
Description: partial 16S ribosomal RNA
Rfam family: Bacterial small subunit ribosomal RNA
Source: RNAcentral